Molecule: ribosomal RNA, 486 nt
Filed under: uncultured bacterium
Lineage: Bacteria
Description: partial 16S ribosomal RNA
Rfam family: Bacterial small subunit ribosomal RNA
Source: RNAcentral
AUUGAACGCUGGCGGCAUGCCUUACACAUGCAAGUCGAACGGCAGCACGGGUGCUUGCCCCUGGUGGCGAGUGGCGAACGGGUGAGUAAUACAUCGGAACAUGUCCUGUAGUGGGGGAUAGCCCGGCGAAAGCCGGAUUAAUACCGCAUACGAUCUACGGAGGAAAGCGGGGGACCUUCGGGCCUCGCGCUAUAGGGUUGGCCGAUGGCUGAUUAGCUAGUUGGUGGGGUAAAGGCCUACCAAGGCGACGAUCAGUAGCUGGUCUGAGAGGACGACCAGCCACACUGGAACUGAGACACGGCCCAGACUCCUACGGGAGGCAGCAGUGGGGAAUUUUGGACAAUGGGCGAAAGCCUGAUCCAGCAAUGCCGCGUGUGUGAAGAAGGCCUUCGGGUUGUAAAGCACUUUUGUCCGGAAAGAAAUCCUUGGCCCUAAUACGGUCGGGGGAUGACGGUACCGGAAGAAUAAGCACCGGCUAACUACGUG